RNAcentral lists this ribosomal RNA (405 nucleotides) under uncultured bacterium. RNAcentral's name for it is "partial 16S ribosomal RNA". It matches the Rfam family "Bacterial small subunit ribosomal RNA", at positions 30 to 526 of the family's 1533-position model. The record is from RNAcentral.
AUUGAACGCUGGCGGCAGGCUUAACACAUGCAAGUCGAACGAGUGGCGGACGGGUGAGUAAUGCUUGGGAAUCUAGCUUAUGGAGGGGGUUAACUACGGGAAACUGUAGCUAAUACCGCGUACCUGAGGAUGAGCCCAAGUGGGAUGAGGUAGUUGGUGGGGUAAAGGCUCACCAAGCCGACGAUCUCUAGCUGGUCUGAGAGGAUGACCAGCAACACUGGAACUGAGACACGGCCCAGACUCCUACGGGAGGCAGCAGUGGGGAAUAUUGCGCAAUGGGGGCAACCUGACGCAGCCAUGCCGCGUGAAUGAAGAAGGCCUUCGGGUUGUAAAGUUCUUUCGGUAGCGAGGCGUUAACUACAGAAGAAGCACCGGCUAACUCCGUGCCAGCAGCCGCGGUAAUUC